This 148-nucleotide non-coding RNA is filed under the name Homo sapiens (human). The record is from Rfam by way of RNAcentral. Lineage: Eukaryota; Metazoa; Chordata; Mammalia; Primates; Hominidae.
GCCGGGCAUGGUGGUGCUUGCCUGUAGUCCCAGCUACUCUGGAGGCUGAGGCGGGAGAAUUGCUUGAACCCAGGAGGUGGAGGUUGCAGUGAGCUGAGAUGGUGCCACUGCACUCCAGCCUGGGCAACAGAGCAAGACUCUGUCUCAA